UCAAAGCCAAGUCUGAAUGAGUGGUCCCAUCUGACCCAAGCCACAGUUUCAGAAGCACAGCCUUGGAGGAGUAAGGACGGUGAGGAAACAGAUGCCUAGACAUCCAUAUUGACCAAAACCUGCACUGGCAACCCACGGAGGGCUACAUAUCAAAGACAGGUCUUAUCACAUCUUCAUUGCCAAGAAAAGAGAAAAUGAUCUUAAAAUUAUUUUGUACAAUGAAAAACAAUACCUUUGACAACCAGAUGUUUGAUGAAUACAUUUUGAUAUUACAGCCAAGAGCUGGGCACCUGUUCUUUAAGGAUAGAAGAGCAACCCCUGAACUAAGAUGUAGUACCUGGAGCUAUGCAGCUUUUCUGUGACCAUGAGGUGAUGGAUGAAGAUGCUGGAACUGACAUCAUGGAGCUGUUGAAGACACACCAAUAACAGUCUACAUUUUGACUUGUAUUGUUUUGUGUGGAAAAAACUAUUUUGUUCAAAUAUUGUAGUUGAAUGCUUUGUUACUUGCAGUUAAAUACAUUCCUAACAAGUAAAGGAGGGAUUAUAACUAUAAUCUUACUAUAACUGUCUAUAUAGCUACUAAUUGAAUAUAUUAUAUUUGAGAAAUAAUAAUUGUGGUAAUCUAACUUGUUAACCCAGUUUUCUCCAACAACAAUCUAAAUUGGUUUAAGAUGGGUCACUAAAUAACAUACAAUAUGGUAAAUAAUGAAAUAAGUAAAUGUCAAAUAGGUGAGCACGACAGAGAAUUAUUGAAAAUGUACUGUAUUUUAUUUCAGAAAUAAAAUUUACUCUGAGUUUUCACUGUUCUUUCUCCCCCUUUUAUCAUGGCACCCCAUACAUAUGAAAAAUUAGUUCACACUAAUUAUCUGCAAAUGGGACUCAUCGUCACAGUGAAAUUGUGUCUCUCCUUGAUCCUAAUCCAAAUUUAACUGUAACCUAAAUGAUACCUGACAGAAGUAUGCAGAGGUCACAGAGUCCCUACCUGGUGAGAGACAUUAAUCAAACAAAUGUCAUUUGUACAGUUCAGCAGUUUUAUAUCAGAAAUUUAACUUAAAACCUUACAAAAAAGGAGGAUUAAAUGAAAUACAUACAAUGCAUUUAGAAUAGAAAGGCAAAACUCUGGAGACCAAGGUUGCCAAAUUAUUAUUUUUAAAAUCUGGCUGUAAGAUAUACAGGCCAUUUGGUCUCCUUGGCCUUCUUCACUGACAUUUUUAAUCAGAAAAGUUUCCCCUCACUUGUCACUUUUUCACUCUGAGAUCAUCAUUACUAGCAGGUUAGUCGAUUUUCUAUGAAUUGUUUGAUACUUCUGAGAACACAAAAUCAUUUUGAUAAUUCUGAGAAUGCAAGUCAUUUUGUGGCAUUCAAGUGAAAAUAUCUUGAACUUGUUUUCUUUUUUUUUUUUCCACUUAAGAAAAGAAAGUAAAUAAAUGUGAAGGGUUGCUUUCCAUAGCCAUUCCUGUUUAGAGACUCAUUUGUUGCAUUCUUGCUUUAGUAAUUUUUAUUUUUGUUUAUUUGUUUCCUUUUCCCUUUAAAGGCAUAGAUGAGAAAAAUAAUUGCUGUUUAGAAGUGAAGGGAAAUAAAUUUUAUGGACUCCAAAAGCCUUUCCAGGUGGCUAGACAAAGUGCCUGGACAUGCUCAUAUAAUGUGAGUUCAAAGCAUGAAUUAAAUAUCUACUUUUCUAAAAAAUAAAUUUCAUCUGGGGUGCAUUUUGCUACCCAGAUUGUGAAUAACUUAGUAUAAAGCCACAUUUUCAUUUGCAAGGCCCUUGUUCAUGCUACGUCGUUUGUCGUUCUCUGUUCAAUAAAAGGUAAGCAGACAUUUUCCAAAAUUUUUUUUUUAGAAUAUUUAUUUUUUUCAGGAAACAUGAUGGGUUUUGAUGAAUUAAGGGACAGAAAGAAAAAAAUCCCAUGUUACUAAUUUGUAUAUGACAGCAGGUGGUUUGGUUCAAGUGAACAGUAAGCACACGUAGAAGUCAAAUCAGAAAAGCUUCAUUAUCUGGCUAAGUGAAUUAUCUCCAGGAUCAUACAUUAAAACACAGAAAGGCGCUCCUUUGUUAUCUUUGAUAGCCUCAAAGGAGUGAAAAAUAAGUUUCCUUUUUUAACAUGCUUGACAAAGUCUUAGCGUCCCCAUAGUGAGGUCCUCACAGGUGGUUCACAGAGAAUGAGAUUACAUAAUUAAGACUUUGGGAAGCAGAGGUCACUGCAAACCCACACUGGAUGAAAAACAGAGGCUGGGGUUUGAGCAAAAAGAAAACUGAUUCUUUUCAUUUAACUCAUUAUUAAACCACAAAGAACUUUAUUUUCAGUUUAUAUACACUGUACCCUGUGACAUAAAAUAAGAGUUUGAAGCGAUUUUUAGAAAGUUAAAAAUAUUUUUGCGUGCAUGCACAUGUGUGCACAUCAGUGUAUAUGCAUGCUCACAUGUUUGUCAACGUGGGGAGGACUGUCGCCAUUGUUCACCUGCCCCAGACAACAAUGUUUAUCUAAGUGCUCUGGGUAUUAAAGGAAUAGUUUAAUGAUUGAAGGCAUCUUUAUAUUAGAUAUCUUCCUUGAUUGGCUCUGACAGUUAUAUUUGAAAACUUAUUCAAUAGAUAAGUAGAUUAAAGAUACAUAAGAAUGUCCUAAUUACCCCAACAGCAUUUGAAAAAAAAAAAAAAGUCUUGAAUAUGAUACUGAACCAAAAGUGUUUGACAACUCAUUUUAGCUAUCUUUCAGAUAAAGAAUAAAUUCAAGGAUUCAGUCACUUGUGCUUACAGAGGAACAUAUGGCAUGUUCUGUUGGAGGACGGAGUAACCCUCAAUGUACCAGCCAGAUUUUUAGUUAGUUAUUCCAGCCUCUUCAUCUAAGGCUCCCUGUGGUCUUCACUUCCCAAGUGACGGAGCUGAAUGAAGAGAUGAUUGUGCAUAAAGUGGUUUGUGAUCUUCCUCAGGGAAAGACUUGAUAAAACGUGGGCUCUUCUUAGGAUACAGCAGAUGUGCAGACCACAGCAAAAGCCCUC
Molecule: long non-coding RNA, 2997 nt
Filed under: Callithrix jacchus (white-tufted-ear marmoset)
Lineage: Eukaryota; Metazoa; Chordata; Mammalia; Primates; Cebidae
Description: lncRNA (ENSCJAG00000051486.2)
Source: RNAcentral